CCAUAUAUAGAAUAUAUAGAAGCAAAACAGGUUGAAGAACCAAAAGAAAAUCAAGUUUACUAAAUAUAGUAAAAAAAGAAUAAAAAGUAUUGAAAAGUAAAAGAAAACAUGUUAUAUUUUAGGUGUCAAGAAAAUGACACCUUUUUUAAAAUUAAAAAAAAUAAAAAAGUUGAAAAAAAGUAUUGACAGAAUAGCAUUAUAAAGCUAUAAUAAAACAUGUGCUUAAGAGAAAGCAAAAACAUAUAAAAUAGUACAUUGAAAAAUAAACAAUAUCCUUUAGAGAAAAUAAAACCAAGCGGACAGAGAACUGUCCAAAAUAAAUAGGAAAAGCAAAGACAAGCCGGAAGGUUGGGACUGAGACACGGCCCAGACUCCUACGGGAGGCAGCAGUCGGGAAUAUUGCACAAUGGAGGAAACUCUGAUGCAGUGACACCGCGUAUAGGAAGAAGGUCUUAGGAUUGUAAGCUAUUGUCGUGUGAGAAGAAAAUGACCAUCACAGGAGGAAGCCCUGGCUAAAUAUGUGCCAGCAGCCGCGGUAAUACAUAUGGGGCGAGCGUUAUCCGGAUUUAUUGGGUGUAAAGGGUGCGUAGGCGGGAAAAUAAGUCAGUAUGUGAAAUCCCUCGGCUCAACUGAGGAACUGCAACUGAAACUAUUUUUCUUGAGUGUUGAAGGGGAAAGUGGAAUUCCUAGUGUAGCGGUGAAAUGCGUAGAGAUUAGGAGGAACACCAGUGGCGAAGGCGACUUUCUGGGCAACAACUGACGCUGAGGCACGAAAGUGUGGGGAGCAAACAGGAUUAGAUACCCUGGUAGUCCACACCGUAAACGAUGGAUACUAGGAGUUGGCAAAAAUAUUGUCGGUUCCGCAGUUAACGCAUUAAGUAUCCCACCUGGGGAGUACGACCGCAAGGUUAAAACUCAAAGGAAUUGACGGGGGCCCGCACAAGCAGUGGAGUAUGUGGUUUAAUUCGAAGCAACGCGAAGAACCUUACCAGGGCUUGACAUAUACAGGAAUAUAUAAGAGAUUAUAUAGCUCUACGGAGUCUGUAUACAGGUGGUGCAUGGUUGUCGUCAGCUCGUGUCGUGAGAUGUUGGGUUAAGUCCCGUAACGAGCGCAACCCCUAUGGCUAGUUGCUAACAUUAAGUUGAGGACUCUAGCAAGACUGCCGUUGUUAAAACGGAGGAAGGUGGGGACGACGUCAAAUCAUCAUGCCCUUUAUGUCCUGGGCUACACACGUACUACAAUGGGUAAGACAGAGGGAAGCGAAAGUGCGAACUGGAGCAAAACCCUAAACUUAUUCUCAGUUCGGAUUGGAGUCUGAAAUUCGGCUCCAUGAAGCUGGAAUUGCUAGUAAUGGCAGGUCAGCAUACUGCCGUGAAUACGUUCCCGGGCCUUGUACACACCGCCCGUCACACCAUGAGAGUUGGGAAUACCCGAAGCCUGUGAGCUAACUUUUAAAGAGGCAGCAGUCGAAGGUAGAAUCAAUGAUUGGGGUGAAGUCGUAACAAGGUAGCCGUAUCGGAAGGUGCGGCUG
RNAcentral lists this ribosomal RNA (1532 nucleotides) under human oral metagenome. RNAcentral's name for it is "bacterial SSU rRNA". The stretch from base 260 to 1532 matches the Rfam family "Bacterial small subunit ribosomal RNA". The record is from RNAcentral.